This 380-nucleotide ribosomal RNA is filed under the name uncultured eukaryote. Its description in RNAcentral is "partial 18S ribosomal RNA". It matches the Rfam family "Eukaryotic small subunit ribosomal RNA", at positions 592 to 976 of the family's 1831-position model. The record is from RNAcentral.
CAAUAGCGUAUAUUAAAGUUGUUGCAGUUAAAAAGCUCGUAGUUGGAUUUGUGGCGUACGGUGUGUUCCGGGCACUUGUUGUCUGAGUAACCUGCUGUUGCCAUCCUCGGGUGGAACCUGUGUGGCAUUAGGUUGUCGUGCAGGGGAUGCCCAUCAUUUACUGUGAAAAAAUUAGAGUGUUCAAAGCAGGCUUAUGCCGUUGAAUAUAUUAGCAUGGAAUAAUGAGAUAGGACUUUUUUGCUAUUUUGUUGGUUUGCGCAAAGAGGUAAUGAUUAAUAGGGACAGUUGGGGGUAUUCGUAUUCCAUUGUCAGAGGUGAAAUUCUUGGAUUUUUGGAAGACGAACUACUGCGAAAGCAUUUACCAAGGAUGUUUUCAUUAA